This 6249-nucleotide unclassified non-coding RNA is filed under the name Homarus americanus (American lobster). Its description in RNAcentral is "multiple epidermal growth factor-like domains protein 6, transcript variant X2". Lineage: Eukaryota; Metazoa; Arthropoda; Malacostraca; Decapoda; Nephropidae. The record is from RNAcentral.
UCGUGCGGGGAGGAUGUAUCGCUGUGGCUGCUGUUGUCCUCACCACGUGGCUCACCCCCUCAUCACCUCCUUUUCGUGAACUUUUAUAAUGCCUCACCGUCGCUUGGUCUAAUAUCUACCGAGAUGAUUGAUUGAUUUUUUGUGUGGAAAACAAGGGCCGCCAUGACCAACGCAGAUGAGACAAAUUUUACCGUGUGUACUCGGAAGGAUUUCUAGGCUAACAACCUGUAAUUAGUUGUGUCAUCUCUUUAACUGUUUCACGAUACGAAUAUUUUCACCACUGAUCGAUACAGCGAAGGUUAAAUGGAGUGUCGUUCCAUAUUAAAUUUAUCACUAUUAACGAGGGAGACAUUUUCAGUGAUCAGUUCAUAGCUGACGUCUUCUUGAUGGAACGUGAACCAUUGUGAGGCUGAAACAAUGACAGGCUUGAGCAAAAUUGUGUUAGGUGUCUGGAACAAGUGAAUCACGCUAAUAAUAACUGGAACAAAUAUAACACUAGCUGAGUUAGGAAAAAGAACCAGCUGGCGUGUACGAACCAGCUACCCCAAUAGUGACGAUAGCUGACGUGUGGUUAACCAGCUGAGAAAGAAGUUAAUACAAGAUGAUGGCUGUCGUAGCUGCAAGUAGUGUGAGGUGGUUGGUGGUGACGGCUGUGGUGGGCAUCGCAUUGGGUACUACUCUACAGAAGGGAAUGACCCACGUGUGUGAGUACCAGCAGGAGGAGAGAGUCAAGGUACAGAUGCCUACCGUCCACGCCUUCACCGCCACCGUCAGGGUAUACCGUCCAGGAUGCUACACCAACGCCCCCGCCUGUGUUAACUACGAGAGGAGGACACUUUACCGCACCGUGUACCAGGACCAAUCACAGACCAACACCCGCACCGUCUUGGCCUGCUGUCCCGGCUGGUCCACACAGAAGGAGAGGGGGAAGGAUAGUGAACAAGGAAAGACGGACGAUACAGACGAUGGAGGAUGUUCAGUGCGGACGAAAACAUCAACAAACAGUACUGGACAAAUAACACAAGAUGGUGAGAUCUAUUACCUGGUCGAUAACUCACAAGAUAACAACGCCAACCGGUCUGAUGGCGAGGGAAGCAAGAAACAACUGCUCGACGCGCCAGAAAGUGAUGAGGAAGAUAAAGUCUCUACAGUUCAGUCAGAUCAUUCACAUCGGGGGAAAAAUCAUAACAAAGAUGUCAACAGAGAAAAGGGUAUAUCAGAGUAUACUAAUGAUGAACCGAGUAUACGUGACGUGGCUGAAGGAGGAAAGUCUUCUCCGUCUGUCUUCCGUCGGGAGUCUGAAGUGAACACACACCAGCGUCCCUCCUCACUCACGGCCAACAGACGCCGCUGGAACGAACACCACCACACUCAAUCUUCCCUCACUGACACGACAACACCAAGUACUCGUCGUGCUCAUCGUCGUCGCCAUAGAGGACGAUCACCUUCCAGUCGAGACGAGGACGUGACCGUAGAAACGACCUACACGUCAGGCAGGAAUGGAUAUCGUCACCGUUACAACAACAACGAGACGAAGUUUGACGCCUACAGCUACACCAUCAUUAUGACAGAUGGGAAGAAGAACGGGAGGAGGCGUGAAGAAGAGACAAAGAAGGAACAAGUGUCACGCCGGGAGGAGAACAUUGAUGCCUACCUUGGCAAGUCCUAUGCUGCGUGUGGCCGCAUCUUCUGCUACAACGGUGGCCGCUGUGUCUACAACCGCUGCAUCUGUCCCCGAGGUUACUACGGCUCCCGCUGCCAGUAUGAUAGAGACGAGUGUCGAGAGAACAAUGGCGGCUGUGACCAGACUUGCAAAAAUUCUGUGGGCUCCUUCAUGUGUUGCUGCAGCCCCGGCUACAGGCUCCUGCCCGACAACCGCUCCUGCCAAGACGUGGACGAGUGUGACUACCACAACGGCGGGUGCUCCCACGAGUGUGUCAACACGGUGGGCUCCUACCAGUGUCGAUGCGGCUCUAACCAACGUCUCCUCCCAGACGGCCGCACUUGCAUAGGUGAGGACCUCUGUAGUGUGAGGAAUGGUGGCUGUGACCACGUCUGCAACGACUCAUCCAGGCAGGUCAUCUGUUCCUGCCAGCCCGGAUACCGUCUACAGCGCGACAGACGGACAUGUGAGGCAGUGGAUCCCUGUUCUGAGAAUAACGGUGGCUGUUACGACCGCUGCCAUGUUGAGCAAAGGCAGGCACGUUGUUCCUGCCGGCGAGGUUUCAAAUUGGCUGACGACCAAGUGUCCUGUGUUGAUCUGGAUGAAUGCCAAAUACCCGAAACUUGCAGCCAUCAGUGUCAAAACACUUGGGGGUCCUACCAGUGCCUCUGUAACCCCGGCUACCAGCUGGGCACUGACCACAAGUCCUGUUUUAUGAUCGACAUGGAAGUGAUUAAUUCAUGCUUGGAAAACAACGGCGGCUGUCAACACAUGUGUCGUCAUGGUCCAGGUGGGGCCGUUUGCACCUGUCAUCCAGGCUAUCUGCUGCAGCCUGAUCGUCGUACUUGUCAGGACGAGGAUGAAUGUGAAGCGAGAACCCACCGAUGCCAGCAGGAGUGUGUCAACACCGCUGGCGGCUACGCCUGUGCCUGCACCCAGGGCUACAUUCUCAGUUCCGACACUUUUACCUGCGUCGAUGUGGACGAGUGUGAGCGAGAGAACGGCGGGUGUGAGCACGAGUGUCGCAACACCCAGGGCUCCUUUGUCUGUUCCUGCCGCAGUGGUUAUAACCUCAUUGAUUUCAACCACUGCGAGAUAGUGGACUACCAGUACACGGACGACUACUUGGGUCAGAGCUCUCGUGGGGACCUGGACUUGGGGACGGCGCUGGAGGACGACUUCACGGUGCCUGAGGACACGUCGGCCAAGACACGUGACACAUGGGAGGACAUUACGUAUGCCGAGUACUCAAAAUUUCAUACUGUCCACACGCGCUGUGUUCCUGGACACUUUGGGCCCAACUGCUCGCUGACAUGUGCUGACUGUCCCGGCCAAUGUGACACGUCGGGGUGCCUGUGUACCCCCGGCAGGACUGGCCCCACCUGCUCACUCACCUGCCCUCCCGGCUUCUACGGCACAGGUUGUAACGAGGUGUGUAGAUGCGAGAAUGAUGGCACCUGUGACCCCAUGACCGGCAACUGUACCUGUCCACCAGGUGUGUCCGGUGACCUGUGCGAAGAUGGAUGUCCUGCUGGGUACUAUGGCAGUAAGUGUGAGCGGCGGUGCCCCAUGAUGUGCCCCAACAUGCGCUGCAACAGAGUCUUCGGUUUCUGUGAGUGUGAUCCAGGACGCUUCGGGCCCAAGUGUAACAUGCCCUGCCCGGCCCUCACCUGGGGCCCUAACUGCCGCCAUCAGUGCCAGUGCCAGGCUCGCACCACUGCCCGAUGCCACGCCGAAAGUGGCGUGUGUGAGUGCAGCCCGGGCUACGUUGGCUCUGACUGUUCCCAGGAAUGUCUACCCGGCCGUUGGGGUGCUGGCUGUCUACACGAGUGCCAGUGUGCCAGCGGUGCCACUUGCCACCCUGCCACAGGCGUCUGUUUCCAGGACUGUCCACCGGGUUUCACAGGAUCCGACUGUACCAUACCAUGUGAGGCUGGUCACUAUGGUCCGGGAUGUAUGAAGACCUGUAUGUGUGGACUACGGCCAUGUGACCCGGCCACUGGUGUCUGUGUCUGUCCUGCCGGCACACACGGCGCUAACUGUCUCCAGCAUUGUCCUGAGGGUCGAUGGGGCCAGAGUUGCCAGCAGAAGUGCCAGUGUCAAAAUGGUGCCACUUGUGACCGUGUUAGCGGGGAAUGUCACUGCCCAUCAGGAUUUGUCGGUCCAGCGUGUGAGUCACCGUGUCCUGCUGGCAGGUUUGGUGUGGACUGUAGUGAGACCUGCAACUGCCUCAAUGGUGCCUCCUGCCACCACCUCACCAGCAGGUGCGAGUGUUUGCCAGGGUUUACGGGUGCAAGUUGUGGGCAGCCAUGUCCUUUAGGGAGGUUCGGUCAAGACUGUGUACAUGUGUGUCACUGCGACAAUAACGGAGGCUGUGACCGUGUGACCGGCGAGUGUGCUUGUGCUCCUGGCUGGCGAGGACCUCAGUGUAAACUCCCGUGUGAAGCCGCCAGCUACGGGUCUGGUUGUGCUAUGAACUGCAGCUGUGCCAACGACGCCAAGUGUGACCACAUCUCUGGCGCCUGCACGUGCCAGCCAGGUUGGCGAGGCACCUUCUGUUCACGACCGUGCCCUGAUGGGUUCUGGGGGCUGGACUGCCGACAUCACUGUAACUGUGAUACUGGUGCCACUUGUGACCCUGCCACGGGUGUCUGCGUCUGCCCUCCCGGCAAGCAUAGUCAACACUGCUCCAAGACUUGUUCAGCUGAUCGCUGGGGUAGUGACUGUCGGAAUCUAUGUCUUUGCCACAACGGGGGCAUCUGUGACCGUGUGUCUGGUGCCUGUGUGUGCCCCCCAGGACACACUGGUGCUACCUGCCAGGACAGAUGUCCGAAAGGAACCUAUGGCAGCGGUUGUCAGCACACCUGUUUGUGUCAGCACGGUUCUAGCUGUCAGCAUGACACCGGUGCCUGUGUGUGUUCCCCAGGCUUCUAUGGCACUUAUUGUGAAACUGCUUGUGAGUCAGGCAGGUAUGGCUCCGGGUGUGUGCUGGAGUGUCAUUGUCAACACGGUGGCCAAUGUGAUCCUGUCACGGGGGCCUGCAAGUGUACCCCAGGCUGGCGCGGCCAACACUGCCACAAACCCUGCCUUAAAGGUUUCUGGGGUGACGGAUGCCAGCUGGUGUGUGACUGUGAACAUGGUAGCGCCUGUCACCACAUCACUGGAGACUGCCAGUGCCCACGUGGCCUCAUGGGUGACAAAUGCCAGUUUAUCUGUGCUCGUGGGUUCUUUGGGAAUGAUUGUGAGGAGGUGUGUAGGUGUGAGGAAGACCAGCCAUGUGACCACGUGACUGGCGCCUGCAACUGUCCUCCCGGCCGCCAAGGACAGCAGUGUCAUGAGUACUGUGCUGAGGGGCAAUGGGGAGAGGAGUGCCACCAGGAGUGCCAAUGUGCCAGGUCGGCCCUGUGUGACCCGGCCAAUGGCAAGUGUUUCUGUCCGGCGGGUCUUCGUGGUCGAAAGUGUCGAAGAGGCUGUCCGAGAGGUAGAUAUGGCGUCGACUGCAAGCAGAGGUGUAAGUGUGAGAACAGAGGGACGUGUGACCCAGUGAGUGGCCAGUGUCAGUGUCGCGAUGGUUACUACGGCCCCACCUGCUCCCUUCCCUGCCCCACCAACACCUUUGGCUCUGGCUGUAACCAGACGUGUGAGUGUGAGCACAAGGGUGUCUGCACCAAGUCUGGAGAGUGUCAGUGUCCAGCAGGGUACACAGGUUCCAGCUGUCAGACCUCAUGCCCUGAUCAGAACUGGGGCCUCCACUGUGCCCUCAAGUGCCACUGCAAAAACGACGCCAUCUGUCAUCCAGAGACGGGGGAGUGUCAGUGUGGGUUAGGAUGGACUGGGAUAGACUGCAGUCAGGAGUGCAGCCCGGGCCGCUAUGGUCCCAACUGUCAGCUGGACUGUGCUUGUCAUCACAAUGUGUCGUGUGACCGCUUCUCUGGAUGUUGUCAGUGUGGCCCUGGCAGUUAUGGCCGCUACUGUGAACUGGAGUGCCCAUCAGGGUUCUAUGGCUUAUACUGUGCUGGUGUGUGUGACUGCCACAACGGUGCCACCUGUGACCCACAUACUGGCCAGUGCCGCUGUGCGCCAGGCUUUACGGGUGACAGAUGCACUGACACCUGCCUCCCAGGAAAGUUUGGUGUCCAUUGUCGGGAGGAAUGCCAAUGUGGGCAGUACCCUUGUCACAGAGGGACUGGCGAGUGUCAAUGUCCGCCCGGCACCAAGGCAAGAAAUUGUGCUAUGCCAUGUGGGACAGGCAGGUAUGGCAGAGGGUGUGAGCAGGUGUGUGAGUGUCACAACGGAGGCAGCUGUCAUCCCGCCACUGGCAACUGCUCCUGCACCCCUGGCUGGCUAGGUCCCAAGUGCACGGAGAAGGACGUCUCAUUCAUCACAGCGAGUGAGCAGCGAGACAGAGCGGACAUCCCCGUCGAGUUGAGCUGAUGAUGAUUCUUUUGAGUAGGAGACAAGCCCAUUAUGUCAUCACGAACAUAAAAAGAUUUUGGAUCCGCGGAGAAGAUCCAAAAGAGCUAAAUCAGUGAUCACGGAGCCAUGUUAUGGUGACUCACUGGCAAGGUACCUAUUGUGGAUGAUGG